This 506-nucleotide ribosomal RNA is filed under the name uncultured bacterium. RNAcentral describes it as "partial 16S ribosomal RNA". It matches the Rfam family "Bacterial small subunit ribosomal RNA", at positions 29 to 523 of the family's 1533-position model. The record is from RNAcentral.
AGUGAACGCUGGCGGUAGGCCUAACACAUGCAAGUCGAACGGCAGCACAGAGGAGCUUGCUCCUUGGGUGGCGAGUGGCGGACGGGUGAGGAAUACAUCGGAAUCUACUCUGUCGUGGGGGAUAACGUAGGGAAACUUACGCUAAUACCGCAUACGACCGACGGGUGAAAGCAGGGGAUCUUCGGACCUUGCGCGAUUGAAUGAGCCGGUUUCGGAUUAGCUAGUUGGCGGGGUAAAGGCCCACCAAGGCGACGAUCCGUAGCUGGUCUGAGAGGAAGACCAGCCACACUGGAACUGAGACACGGUCCAGACUCCUAAGGGAGGCAGCAGUGGGGAAUAUUGGACAAUGGGCGCAAGCCUGAUCCAGCCAUACCGCGUGGGUGAAGAAGGCCUACGGGUUGUAAAGCCCUUUUGUUGGGAAAGAAAUCCAUCUGGUUAAUACCCGGGUGGGAUGACGGUACCCAAAGAAUAAGCACCGGCUAACUUCGUGCCAGCCGCCGCCGUAA